RNAcentral lists this transfer RNA (75 nucleotides) under Streptomyces werraensis. RNAcentral's name for it is "tRNA-Gln". The record is from RNAcentral. Lineage: Bacteria; Bacillati; Actinomycetota; Actinomycetes; Kitasatosporales; Streptomycetaceae.
UGUGGCGGGGGCGCCGGGAGAGCGACACGUUCUGAGCGCGCCGGGCGCCUGUUGGUUCAGUCCGCCCCGCCAUGA